This 1458-nucleotide ribosomal RNA is filed under the name Bacillus amyloliquefaciens. Its description in RNAcentral is "bacterial SSU rRNA". It matches the Rfam family "Bacterial small subunit ribosomal RNA". Lineage: Bacteria; Bacillati; Bacillota; Bacilli; Caryophanales; Bacillaceae. The record is from RNAcentral.
UGGCGGCGUGCCUAAUACAUGCAAGUCGAGCGGACAGAUGGGAGCUUGCUCCCUGAUGUUAGCGGCGGACGGGUGAGUAACACGUGGGUAACCUGCCUGUAAGACUGGGAUAACUCCGGGAAACCGGGGCUAAUACCGGAUGCUUGUUUGAACCGCAUGGUUCAGACAUAAAAGGUGGCUUCGGCUACCACUUACAGAUGGACCCGCGGCGCAUUAGCUAGUUGGUGAGGUAACGGCUCACCAAGGCGACGAUGCGUAGCCGACCUGAGAGGGUGAUCGGCCACACUGGGACUGAGACACGGCCCAGACUCCUACGGGAGGCAGCAGUAGGGAAUCUUCCGCAAUGGACGAAAGUCUGACGGAGCAACGCCGCGUGAGUGAUGAAGGUUUUCGGAUCGUAAAGCUCUGUUGUUAGGGAAGAACAAGUGCCGUUCAAAUAGGGCGGCACCUUGACGGUACCUAACCAAGAAAGCCACGAGCUAACUACGUGGCCAGCAGGCCGCGGUAAUACGUAGGUGGCAAGCGUUGUCCGGAAUUAUUGGGCGUAAAAGGGCUCGCAGGCGGUUUCUUAAGUCUGAUGUGAAAGCCCCCCGGCUCAACCGGGGAGGGUCAUUGGAAACUGGGGAACUUGAGUGCAGAAGAGGAGAGUGGAAUUCCACGUGUAGCGGUGAAAUGCGUAGAGAUGUGGAGGAACACCAGUGGCGAAGGCGACUCUCUGCGUCUGUAACUGACGCUGAGGAGCGAAAGCGUGGGGAGCGAACAGGAUUAGAUACCCUGGUAGUCCACGCCGUAAACGAUGAGUGCUAAGUGUUAGGGGGUUUCCGCCCCUUAGUGCUGCAGCUAACGCAUUAAGCACUCCGCCUGGGGAGUACGGUCGCAAGACUGWAAACUCAAAGGAAUUGAACGGCGGGCCCGCACAAGCGGUGGGAGCAUGAUGGUUUGAAUUCGAAGCAACGCGAAGAACCUUAGCCAGGUCUUGGGACGAUCCUCUGACAAUCCUAGAGAUAGGACGUCCCCUUCGGGGGCAGAGUGACAGGUGGUGCAUGGUUGUCGUCAGCUCGUGUCGUGAGAUGUUGGGUUAAGUCCCGCAACGAGCGCAACCCUUGAUCUUAGUUGCCAGCAUUCAGUUGGGCACUCUAAGGUGACUGCCGGUGACAAACCGGAGGAAGGUGGGGAUGACGUCAAAUCAUCAUGCCCCUUAUGACCUGGGCUACACACGUGCUACAAUGGGCAGAACAAAGGGCAGCGAAACCGCGAGGUUAAGCCAAUCCCACAAAUCUGUUCUCAGUUCGGAUCGCAGUCUGCAACUCGACUGCGUGAAGCUGGAAUCGCUAGUAAUCGCGGAUCAGCAUGCCGCGGUGAAUACGUUCCCGGGCCUUGUACACACCGCCCGUCACACCACGAGAGUUUGUAACACCCGAAGUCGGUGAGGUAACCUUUUUGGAGCCAGCCGCCGAA